UACGGAGGGGGCUAGCGUUGUUCGGAAUUACUGGGCGUAAAGCGCACGUAGGCGGAUUUGUAAGUCAGGGGUGAAAUCCCGGGGCUCAACCUCGGAACUGCCUUUGAUACUGCGAAUCUUGAGUCCGAUAGAGGUGGGUGGAAUUCCUAGUGUAGAGGUGAAAUUCGUAGAUAUUAGGAAGAACACCGGUGGCGAAGGCGGCCCACUGGAUCGGUACUGACGCUGAGGUGCGAAAGCGUGGGGAGCAAACAGG
This 253-nucleotide ribosomal RNA is filed under the name uncultured bacterium. Its description in RNAcentral is "partial 16S ribosomal RNA". It matches the Rfam family "Bacterial small subunit ribosomal RNA", at positions 524 to 776 of the family's 1533-position model. The record is from RNAcentral.